This 459-nucleotide ribosomal RNA is filed under the name Kwoniella sp. SU31.1.1. RNAcentral describes it as "eukaryotic LSU rRNA". It matches the Rfam family "Eukaryotic large subunit ribosomal RNA", at positions 148 to 615 of the family's 3401-position model. The record is from RNAcentral. Lineage: Eukaryota; Fungi; Basidiomycota; Tremellomycetes; Tremellales; Cryptococcaceae.
AUCUAUAGAGGCGUUUUCCGCGCCGGACCGUGUAUAAGUCUCCUGGAACGGAGUAUCAAAGAGGGUGACAAUCCCGUGCUUUACACGACGACCGGUGCUAUGUGAUACGUCUUCUACGAGUCGAGUUGUUUGGGAAUGCAGCUCAAAACGGGUGGUAAACUCCAUCUAAAGCUAAAUAUUGGUGGGAGACCGAUAGCGAACAAGUACCGUGAGGGAAAGAUGAAAAGCACUUUGGAAAGAGAGUUAAACAGUAUGUGAAAUUGUUGAAAGGGAAACGAUUGAAGUCAGUCGUGUCCAUUGGGUUCAGCCGGUCCUGCCGGUCUACUCCCUUUGGACGGGUCAACAUCAGUUUUGACCGGCGGAUAAUGGCGUGAGGAACGUGGCACCCUCCGGGGUGUGUUAUAGCCUCGCGUCGCAUACGCUGGUCGAGACUGAGGAACGCAGCUCGCCUUUAUGGCC